This 614-nucleotide long non-coding RNA is filed under the name Strongylocentrotus purpuratus (purple sea urchin). RNAcentral describes it as "uncharacterized LOC753605, transcript variant X6". The record is from RNAcentral. Lineage: Eukaryota; Metazoa; Echinodermata; Echinoidea; Camarodonta; Strongylocentrotidae.
CAAAGAAGAGUUGUGGUAUACAGCACCUUGUCUGUGUGCGGGCAACUCACGACAAUAACCCUAGCACUCUUAAGCUUUGGUGAGUCAAAGAAGAGUUGUGGUAGACAGUCAGGGAAAGUCUGUUUGCGGGCAAUUCACGACAAUAAGCCUCUAGCACUCUUAAGCUAGGUUGGUGAGUCAAAGAAGAGUUGUGGUAGACAGCAACUUGUCUGUGUGCGGGCAACUCACGACAAUAACCCUAGCACUCUUAAGCUUUGAUACGAACUUCUUGGUGAUCAUGAUGAACACUGUUACUUGGAUUUGAACCAAUCAAGGACCCUAUCAAGUACGACCAACAAAAGAAAAUGUGGCAGAUCAAAGAAGAGAUCAAGGAUUUCCGAAUGUACAGAGUUCAUGCUGGUGGCAAGAGAAAAGAAGCAAAGAACAAGAAAGGUCGAGCAAGGAACAAGAAAGAUGUUUCAGAUGGUGUACAAGAAGAUGCAGUGUUUGACAAUGACCUGAAGAAUAGAAGCUUUGAUACAGUAAAAGAUGGUACAGACAAUGAUACUGAAGCAGUCGAGGUUUCCUGAGUUGUAACGGACACAGUGUUGUACUUCGUACUCAAAGCUGGCAAG